UUCCAUUGCCUGAAUAUAUGCUACUUUC
RNAcentral lists this small RNA (28 nucleotides) under Bombyx mori (domestic silkworm). RNAcentral's name for it is "ovarian small RNA-37151". The record is from RNAcentral. Lineage: Eukaryota; Metazoa; Arthropoda; Insecta; Lepidoptera; Bombycidae.